AUACUUACCUGGCAGGGGAAGUAUCAGGAUCAAGGAUGAAGGUGGUCUUCCCAUGCUGAGUCUUUUCCAUCACAUUUGGGAAGUGUUGACACCUGCAAUUUCUCCAAAUGUAGGGGAACUUAACUGUAGAAGUUAUGGUGGGAGGACUGU
This 150-nucleotide small nuclear RNA is filed under the name Erinaceus europaeus (western European hedgehog). RNAcentral describes it as "U1 spliceosomal RNA (ENSEEUG00000016367.1)". It matches the Rfam family "U1 spliceosomal RNA", at positions 1 to 149 of the family's 166-position model. Rfam says of the family: U1 is a small nuclear RNA (snRNA) component of the spliceosome (involved in pre-mRNA splicing). Its 5' end forms complementary base pairs with the 5' splice junction, thus defining the 5' donor site of an intron. The record is from RNAcentral. Lineage: Eukaryota; Metazoa; Chordata; Mammalia; Eulipotyphla; Erinaceidae.